Molecule: ribosomal RNA, 496 nt
Filed under: uncultured bacterium
Lineage: Bacteria
Description: partial 16S ribosomal RNA
Rfam family: Bacterial small subunit ribosomal RNA
Source: RNAcentral
AUGAACGCUGGCGGCGUGCCUAAUACAUGCAAGUCGAGCGAACAGACGAGGAGCUUGCUCCUCUGACGUUAGCGGCGGACGGGUGAGUAACACGUGGAUAACCUACCUAUAAGACUGGGAUAACUUCGGGAAACCGGAGCUAAUACCGGAUAAUAUAUUUAACCGCAUGGUUCAAUAGUGAAAGACGGUUUUGCUGUCACUUAUAGAUGGAUCCGCGCCGCAUUAGCUAGUUGGUAAGGUAACGGCUUACCAAGGCAACGAUGCGUAGCCGACCUGAGAGGGUGAUCGGCCACACUGGAACUGAGACACGGUCCAGACUCCUACGGGAGGCAGCAGUGGGGAAUCUUCCGCAAUGGGCGCAAGCCUGACGGAGCAACGCCGCGUGAGUGAUGAAGGUCUUCGGAUCGUAAAACUCUGUUAUUAGGGAAGAACAAAUGUGUAAGUAACUAUGCACGUCUUGACGGUACCUAAUCAGAAAGCCACGGCUAACUACGUG